This 615-nucleotide ribosomal RNA is filed under the name Placogorgia sp. SCF-2009. RNAcentral describes it as "partial 16S ribosomal RNA". It matches the Rfam family "Bacterial large subunit ribosomal RNA", at positions 1819 to 2547 of the family's 2925-position model. Lineage: Eukaryota; Metazoa; Cnidaria; Anthozoa; Malacalcyonacea; Plexauridae. The record is from RNAcentral.
CUCUCUGCUAAGGUUACUGAAGUAUAGAGGGUGAAUUCUGCCCAAUGGUUGUAUAGUGAAACUGAGGACUAACGUCUAAAGCGAAACCCAACUGAAUGGCCGCGGUAACUCUGACCGUGAUAAUGUAGCACAAUAAAUAGCCAAUUAAUUGUUGGCGGGUAUGAAUGGAACCACGAGGGUCUUACUGUCUCAAGAGGAAAGCCAAUGAAAUUAUAGUUGUAGUGAAGAUACUACAUAAACAUUGUAAGACGAAAAGACCCUAUCGAGCUUUACUGGAUACCGAUAGCGUUAACUUAAAAUGAUCGAUACUAAGUAUCCUAAUUUUGAGUUAAUAAAAUUUGUUGGUAGGACAGUUUAGUUGGGGCGACUACCUUUGAAUAASAAACGAAGGCGAGCUUAUGGUAUACAAAGCUWAUCUCUUUAGCCUGACAGUGAGGGGGACACCCCUAGCUGGCACAAGGACUAGGUCCUAUGUGGGCGAUAAUGACCCGAUAWGAUUGUCCAAAAUAAAUAUYGAAARCGGAUAAAAGCUACCGUAGGGAUAACAGCGUAAUAUWGUSGGAGAGUUCUUAUMKAGGACASWGUUUGYGACCYCGAUGUUGAAUUGCGGUGCCC